GGGCCCGCACAAGCGGUGGAGCAUGUGGUUUAAUUCGAUGAUACGCGAGGAACCUUACCAGGGCUUAAAUGUAGUGGGACAGGUCUAGAGAUAGACCCUUCUUCGGACUCAUUACAAGGUGCUGCAUGGUUGUCGUCAGCUCGUGCCGUGAGGUGUCAGGUUAAGUCCUAUAACGAGCGCAACCCCUGUCGUUAGUUACCAGCAAGUAAUGUUGGGUACUCUAGCGAGACUGCCGGUGCAAACCGUGAGGAAGGUGGGGAUGACGUCAAAUCAUCACGGCCCCUUACGUCCUGGGCUACACACGUGCUACAAUGGCCGGUACAGAGAGCAGCCACUACGCGAGUAGGAGCGAAUCUUCAAAGCCGGUCUCAGUUCGGAUCGCAGUCUGCAACUCGACUGCGUGAAGCUGGAAUCGCUAGUAAUCG
RNAcentral lists this ribosomal RNA (425 nucleotides) under uncultured bacterium. RNAcentral's name for it is "bacterial SSU rRNA". It matches the Rfam family "Bacterial small subunit ribosomal RNA", at positions 917 to 1344 of the family's 1533-position model. The record is from RNAcentral.